CAUCUUUGAGGCCAUGAAGUUGCUGGAUGGUUGCUCAUUGCUUGUGCUGCUUCAAUGCCAGGUCGCACUCAGCAAAGCCCAGGGACAAGAGAAGAGGAAGGACUCAAAGGAGCCAAGGCAGACAGUGAAAAAUCAGCAAGGACAUUGAUGGACAAGAUGCUGAGAAACCCAUGUGGAUGCCUGGAGGGAGAAGAGGAGAGACUGGAAGCUGGGACAGAAAAUGGGUAUCCAAGAAAAGGGCUCUGGAUGUGCAGUUUGACAUAGCAUUCUGCC
This 273-nucleotide long non-coding RNA is filed under the name Zonotrichia albicollis (white-throated sparrow). RNAcentral describes it as "lncRNA (ENSZALG00000001653.1)". Lineage: Eukaryota; Metazoa; Chordata; Aves; Passeriformes; Passerellidae. The record is from RNAcentral.